AGCAGCCGCGGUAAUUCCGGCUCCAAUAGCGUAUAUUAAAGUUGUUGCAGUUAAAAAGCUCGUAGUUGAAUUUCGGGACUAAUAUGUCGGUCGUGCCUCGGUACGUACUGGUUUAUUGGUUUCUCCUUUCUGAAGAACCAUGAUGUCAUUUAUUUGGUGUCGUGGGGAAUCAGGACUGUUACUUUGAAAAAAUUAGAGUGUUUAAGGCAGGCUCACGCUUGAAUACAUUAGCAUGGAAUAAUGAAAUAGGACGUUUGAUUCUAUUUUGUUGGUUUCUAGGAUCGACGUAAUGAUUAAUAGGGAUAGUUGGGGGCAUUAGUAUUCAAUUGUCAGAGGUGAAAUUCUUGGAUUUAUUGAAGACUAACUACUGCGAAAGCAUUUGCCAAGGAUGUUUUCAUUAAUCAAGAACGAAAGUUAGGGGAUCGAAGACGAUCAGAUACCGUCGUAGUCUUAACCAUAAACUAUGCCGACUAGGGAUCGGAUGAUGUUAAUUUUUUAAUGACUCAUUCGGCGCCUUACG
This 520-nucleotide unclassified non-coding RNA is filed under the name uncultured Glomus. RNAcentral's name for it is "SSU rRNA". It matches the Rfam family "Eukaryotic small subunit ribosomal RNA", at positions 569 to 1092 of the family's 1831-position model. Lineage: Eukaryota; Fungi; Glomeromycota; Glomeromycetes; Glomerales; Glomeraceae. The record is from RNAcentral.